AAGAGUUGCAAAGCUCCCUAAACCAUUGUGAACCUACCUUCAACCGUUGCUUCGGCGGGUUGGGCGCCGGGAGACCCGGCGCCCCCCUCGGGCCCUCACCUCGGGGGCGGCCCGCCGGAGGUACCCAACUCUUGAACACCGUAUGGCCUCUCUGAGUCUUCUGUACUGAAUAGGUCA
Molecule: unclassified non-coding RNA, 177 nt
Filed under: uncultured Ascomycota
Lineage: Eukaryota; Fungi; Ascomycota
Description: sequence contains ITS1
Source: RNAcentral